Molecule: long non-coding RNA, 463 nt
Organism: Balaenoptera ricei (Rice's whale)
Lineage: Eukaryota; Metazoa; Chordata; Mammalia; Artiodactyla; Balaenopteridae
Exons: 3
Source: RefSeq, a predicted model, not a curated record
UUGUUGAGUGGCAUCCUGGUGCUCGGUAAGCAGGCAACCUGCAUUCCUCUCUGACAAUCAGGUGGAAGAUUCAGACAAUCUGUUCAGACUAAAGCCUGGAAUGGCUGAUCCUUCUUUGAUUUGCUUUGCCAAAGCGACUGAAGAGAAUAACGGCACAUAGAACUGUUCUACUCACUAAGAACACAGCAGCAAGUAGAAGGAGGUAACCAUGAAAAGAUCACAGACAAGAGCAUUCCAUACAAAAUGGACAGAACUUCAAGACCUCCACCCCAAGUUCAUAAAUUUAUUUGCUAUAAUCUUGUUGAUAUAUAUAACAAAUAGAGAAUGAAUCUUCCCUUCUAAGAUGGGAGCACCAAAGAGUUCAUGCCGAGCUGAAUGGAAUUUGAAGGAAGGAUUAUACUGGAUUUUACUAACCAGCAUAUAAUAAUGUUGUUUCUUUCUAGAUUGUUUCCAUUUUACUUAA